GCCUUCGUGGUAUAGUGGUGAGCAUGCUCGACGCGUAUUCGAGAGGUUCGUGGUUCGAGUCCCAGCGAGGACA
Molecule: transfer RNA, 73 nt
Filed under: Stegodyphus mimosarum
Lineage: Eukaryota; Metazoa; Arthropoda; Arachnida; Araneae; Eresidae
Rfam family: tRNA
About the family: Transfer RNA (tRNA) molecules are approximately 80 nucleotides in length.
Source: Rfam by way of RNAcentral